UAGUCCACGCCCUAAACGAUGCUGACUCGGUGUCUGGACCUUGAGUCUGGGCGCCCAAGGGAAACCGAUAAGUCAGCCACCUGGGGAGUACGUUCGCAAGAAUGAAACUCAAAGGAAUUGACGGGGGUCCGCACAAGCGGUAGAGCAUGUGGUUUAAUUCGAUGAUACGCGAGGAACCUUACCUAGGCUAUAAUGUGAGCGCAAUCUGGUGAAAGCCGGAGUUCCUUCGGGACGCGAAACAAGGUGCUGCAUGGUUGUCGUCAGCUCGUGCCGUGAGGUGUUGGGUUAAGUCCCGCAACGAGCGCAACCCCUAUUGUUAGUUGCCAGCGAGUAAUGUCGGGGACUCUAACGAGACUGCCCGCGUAAGCGGAGAGGAAGGUGGGGACGACGUCAAAUCAUCGUGGCCUUUAUGCCUAGGGCUACACACGUGCUACAAUGGCAGGUACAGAGGGUUGCGAAGGGGUGACCUGGAGCUAAUCUCAGAAAGCCUGUCCCAGUUCGGAUUGGAGUCUGCAACUCG
RNAcentral lists this ribosomal RNA (520 nucleotides) under uncultured bacterium. RNAcentral describes it as "bacterial SSU rRNA". It matches the Rfam family "Bacterial small subunit ribosomal RNA", at positions 791 to 1314 of the family's 1533-position model. The record is from RNAcentral.